RNAcentral lists this long non-coding RNA (205 nucleotides) under Hordeum vulgare. Its description in RNAcentral is "long non-coding RNA (HVUL_LNC021270)". The record is from RNAcentral. Lineage: Eukaryota; Viridiplantae; Streptophyta; Magnoliopsida; Poales; Poaceae.
CUUCAUGAGGUAACUCAACUAGCCAACCAGCUUACCUAUGUUCUUUAUUCUUGACGAAAUGAAACCAAAUAGGCUAUUUAACUUGUCUCCUCUUUUAUGUUGGCACAAAAGUUAAUGCAAUGUCCAAUCUUUUCCGCACUUAAGUAGACUAUUUUACCAACUCAUGUAGAGUUGAUGACACCGUGUUAAUUUUGGCGACCAGGGG